This 837-nucleotide ribosomal RNA is filed under the name Gammarus roeselii. RNAcentral describes it as "partial 16S ribosomal RNA". The stretch from base 375 to 531 matches the Rfam family "Archaeal large subunit ribosomal RNA", at positions 1882 to 2091 of the family's 2987-position model. Lineage: Eukaryota; Metazoa; Arthropoda; Malacostraca; Amphipoda; Gammaridae. The record is from RNAcentral.
AGGUAAAGAAAAAUUUAUUUUUGUACCUUUUGUAUCAGGGGAGCUUAAAAGUAUAGUGAUAAAAUAUUCGAGUGUAUCUGAACUUUGUGUUAAUGUGGUGUUAAAUUAUUGUGUUUAAUAUAUUUAUGUGGUGAAAAGUGUACGAUGGUAUUGAUAUCUGAUUACUUAAAAUUUUUGGGGUUAAGUCUUAAUAUUAUACCAUAAUUAGUUUUUUUUGAAAAAAUCAGGCUUUAAAUUAGCUUAAUUUAGGUAUUGUUUUAAAAAAAUUCUUAACAGCCAUAAAUAUUGGAGUUAAAAGGUUAUACAAAGGUAAUAAAAAUUUUUAAAAAUAAUGAGUUUAUUGAAUAUGUGGUGGAAUCUAUAAAUAACUAAAUAAAAUCAAGACAGUUUAACAAAAACAUUUUUAUUUGUGGUAUUAAAAGUAAAACCUGCCCGGUGAGAUUUAACGGCUGCGGUAUUUUGACCGUGCUAAGGUAGCAUAAUCACUUGUUUUUUAAUUGGGGACCGGUAUGAAUGGUUAAACUUGAUUUUUUGUUUGUUGGGUUUAAUAAGAAAUUAAAGUCAAGGUAAUAAUUCUUUGAUUAAUUUAGGGGACGAUAAGACCCUAAAAGCUUUAUAAGUUUAUUGAUUUAUAGUGUUAAAUAGAUAUUUAUUUUACUGGGGCGGUAUAAGUUAAUUUGCUAUAGGAGUUGUAUAUGAUCCCUUAUAUUAGGAUGUGUUGGUUAAGUUACUUUAGGGUUAACAGUGCAAUAUUUUUGAAGAGAUCUUAUCGAUAAAAGUGUUUGCAACCUCGAUGUUGAAUUAAAAUAUCUACGUAGGGUAGAAAAUAUAGUAGAG